UUUUUUAUAAUAGUAUCAUGGUUCGCGACCACCAGCAAGAUUAGGAUGAUGACUUCAUGGAGCCGCUGCCACGGAAUUAUGCGGCUAGUCCUGGGAAUGACGGAGACGAGGUUCUUUUUUUUUCCUAUUCAUUGCGUUAUCGAGAUUUCAUUCAUUUUAGUGGUAUUGAACAUGCGAGAAUGACCAUGUUUCAGUUUUGUAGAAGAAGAAACAUGCACACAAUAGGGCUUCGCAAGAAUGGGUGAC
RNAcentral lists this long non-coding RNA (246 nucleotides) under Hordeum vulgare. RNAcentral's name for it is "long non-coding RNA (HVUL_LNC015780)". Lineage: Eukaryota; Viridiplantae; Streptophyta; Magnoliopsida; Poales; Poaceae. The record is from RNAcentral.